This 83-nucleotide microRNA precursor is filed under the name Bombyx mori (domestic silkworm). RNAcentral's name for it is "mir-2807 microRNA precursor family". It matches the Rfam family "mir-2807 microRNA precursor family". Lineage: Eukaryota; Metazoa; Arthropoda; Insecta; Lepidoptera; Bombycidae. The record is from Rfam by way of RNAcentral.
UUAACUCAAAUUUGUAUGGAGUUGGAUCGUUUGCCUACAUUUACCGUUAGGGGCGUUGUUCAGCUGCAGAUAAAUUUGAGUUA